AACGAACGCUGGCGGCAUGCCUAACACAUGCAAGUCGAACGAGACCUUCGGGUCUAGUGGCGCACGGGUGCGUAACGCGUGGGAACCUGCCCUUAGGUUCGGAAUAACUCCCCGAAAGGGGUGCUAAUACCGGAUAAUGUCUUCGGACCAAAGAUUUAUCGCCUUUGGAUGGGCCCGCGUUGGAUUAGCUAGUUGGUAGGGUAAAAGCCUACCAAGGCGACGAUCCAUAGCUGGUCUGAGAGGAUGAUCAGCCACACUGGGACUGAGACACGGCCCAGACUCCUACGGAAGGCAGCAGUGGGGAAUAUGGGACAAUGGGCGAAAGCCUGAUCCAGCAAUGCCGCGUGAGUGAUGAAGGCCUUAGGGUUGUAAAGCUCUUUUACCCGGGAUGAUAAUGACAGUACCGGGAGAAUAAGCUCCGGCUAACUCCGU
This 432-nucleotide ribosomal RNA is filed under the name uncultured bacterium. RNAcentral's name for it is "partial 16S ribosomal RNA". It matches the Rfam family "Bacterial small subunit ribosomal RNA", at positions 29 to 506 of the family's 1533-position model. The record is from RNAcentral.